AGAGUUUGAUCCUGGCUCAGAUUGAACGCUGGCGGCAUGCUUUACACAUGCAAGUCGAACGGGGGUGGGGCAACCCACCUUAGUGGCGAACGGGUGAGUAAUGUAUCGGAACGUAUCCUUAAGUGGGGGAUAACUCCGAGAAAUCGGAGCUAAUACCGCAUGAGAUCUGAGGAUGAAAGCGGGGGACCGAAAGGCCUCGCGCUUGAGGAGCGGCCGAUAUCUGAUUAGCUAGUUGGUGGGGUAACGGCCUACCAAGGCUGCGAUCAGUAGCUGGUCUGAGAGGAUGAUCAGCCACACUGGGACUGAGACACGGCCCAGACUCCUACGGGAGGCAGCAGUGGGGAAUUUUGGACAAUGGGCGCAAGCCUGAUCCAGCCAUGCCGCGUGAGUGAAGAAGGCCUUCGGGUUGUAAAGCUCUUUCGGACGGAAAGAAAUCGCCUGGGCGAAUACCCCAGGUGGAUGACGGUACCGUAAGAAGAAGCACCGGCUAACUACGUGCCAGCAGCCGCGGUAAUACGUAGGGUGCGAGCGUUAAUCGGAAUUACUGGGCGUAAAGCGUGCGCAGGCGGUGAUUUAAGUCAGAUGUGAAAGCCCCGGGCUUAACCUGGGAACUGCGUUUGAAACUGGAUCGCUAGAGUUUAGCAGAGGGGGGUAGAAUUCCACGUGUAGCGUGAAAUGCGUAGAUAUGUGGAGGAACACCGAUGGCGAAGGCAGCCCCCUGGGCUAGAACUGACGCUCAUGCACGAAAGCGUGGGGAGCAAACAGGAUUAGAUACCCUAGUAGUCC
This 786-nucleotide ribosomal RNA is filed under the name uncultured bacterium. RNAcentral's name for it is "bacterial SSU rRNA". It matches the Rfam family "Bacterial small subunit ribosomal RNA", at positions 8 to 796 of the family's 1533-position model. The record is from RNAcentral.